RNAcentral lists this ribosomal RNA (576 nucleotides) under Eidophelus quadridens. RNAcentral's name for it is "Scolytogenes quadridens partial large subunit ribosomal RNA". It matches the Rfam family "Eukaryotic large subunit ribosomal RNA", at positions 401 to 784 of the family's 3401-position model. The record is from RNAcentral. Lineage: Eukaryota; Metazoa; Arthropoda; Insecta; Coleoptera; Curculionidae.
GAAACCGUUUUAGGGGUAAACCUGAGAAACCCGAAAGGUCGAAGGGAGAAAUUCAUUCGCGUUUUACGACAGGCUUCGGACGGUAGCGUUGACGGAAUGCGUUCGCGCGUUUUCCGCUCCUUCCGUUCGAAGGUCCGGUCGCGAACGUGUGCACUUUUCUUCUGGUAGGACGUCGCGAUCCGUUGGGUGUCGGUCUACGGUUUCGAGCGGAGCCCGUCGGUUACACGUUAACCGACGGACCUCGUAUACUCGGCCGACUCGCUCGACGGUAUAAGAAAGGUUCGAGGCCGCUCUUGGAGCGUUCGAACCGUGGCAAGCGCGUCAGUUGUGUUGGCGAUCGGACCUAGUGCCGAUUCCGACCGCUGUCGACUGUUAGCCGCGGAAUUCUCGAACAGACCACGUAACCGAUCGGCGACGCUAUAGCUUUGGGUACUUUCAGGACCCGUCUUGAAACACGGACCAAGGAGUCUAGCAUGUGCGCGAGUCAUUGGGAAUCACUAAACCUAAAGGCGCAAUGAAAGUAAAGGUCUUCCUUGCGGAGACCGAGGGAAGACGAGCGGUUCGGCCUUAAAACCG